Molecule: ribosomal RNA, 386 nt
Filed under: Paenibacillus sp. CA20
Lineage: Bacteria; Bacillati; Bacillota; Bacilli; Caryophanales; Paenibacillaceae
Description: bacterial SSU rRNA
Rfam family: Bacterial small subunit ribosomal RNA
Source: RNAcentral
CGUUAGGUGCCCUUCGGGGAAAGUUGAGACAGGUGGUGCAUGGUUGUCGUCAGCUCGUGUCGUGAGAUGUUGGGUUAAGUCCCGCAACGAGCGCAACCCUUAUAUUUAGUUGCCAGCAUUUCGGAUGGGCACUCUAAAUAGACUGCCGGUGACAAACCGGAGGAAGGUGGGGAUGACGUCAAAUCAUCAUGCCCCUUAUGACCUGGGCUACACACGUACUACAAUGGCCGGUACAACGGGCAGUGAAGCCGCGAGGUGGAACCAAUCCUAAAAAGCCGGUCUCAGUUCGGAUUGCAGGCUGCAACUCGCCUGCAUGAAGUCGGAAUUGCUAGUAAUCGCGGAUCAGCAUGCCGCGGUGAAUACGUUCCCGGGUCUUGUACACACCG